RNAcentral lists this transfer RNA (72 nucleotides) under Rhododendron molle. RNAcentral describes it as "tRNA-Val". It matches the Rfam family "tRNA". Rfam says of the family: Transfer RNA (tRNA) molecules are approximately 80 nucleotides in length. Their secondary structure includes four short double-helical elements and three loops (D, anti-codon, and T loops). Lineage: Eukaryota; Viridiplantae; Streptophyta; Magnoliopsida; Ericales; Ericaceae. The record is from RNAcentral.
AGGGAUAUAACUCAGCGGUAGAGUGUCACCUUGACCUGAUGGAAGGCAUCAGUUCGAUCCUGAUUAUCCUUG